Molecule: long non-coding RNA, 381 nt
Organism: Brienomyrus brachyistius
Lineage: Eukaryota; Metazoa; Chordata; Actinopteri; Osteoglossiformes; Mormyridae
Exons: 3
Source: RefSeq, a predicted model, not a curated record
GAGACAUAAUUGACAUGGCGGAAUCUCCCAAAGAGCGGUCUAGCAGUGGGCAGACGAACUGGGGAUUGCCAAAAUCUUAACUGGGGGGAAAAGUGGAGAUCUGCCGCUCUUUUGAAGAUAAUUUUAUUGCAGCGAGAAAGGCAGUUCAGGAAAGUUCUCCAUGAAUGUACGUCACAAUGAUGAUGACAGACCAGAUGCCGCUGGACCUUCCUCCGCCCCUACUGAACGGCGAGGUUGCCAUGAUGCCUCACAUGGUUAACGGGGAUGGAUCGCAACAGGUCAUUCUGGUUCAGGUCAACCCAGGAGAAACGUUCACCAUAAGGGCAGAGGAUGGGACCCUCCAGUGCAUCCCAGGUAUGUUGACGCACCAUCUACCCACCU